Molecule: ribosomal RNA, 253 nt
Filed under: uncultured bacterium
Lineage: Bacteria
Description: partial 16S ribosomal RNA
Rfam family: Bacterial small subunit ribosomal RNA
Source: RNAcentral
UACGUAGGGUGCGAGCGUUAAUCGGAAUUACUGGGCGUAAAGCGUGCGCAGGCGGCUUUGCAAGACAGAUGUGAAAUCCCCGGGCUCAACCUGGGAACUGCAUUUGUGACUGCAUGGCUAGAGUGCGGCAGAGGGGGAUGGAAUUCCGCGUGUAGCAGUGAAAUGCGUAGAUAUCAGGAGGAAUACCGAUGGCGAAGGCAGGUCUCUGGGCUGACACUGACGCUCAUGCACGAAAGCGUGGGGAGCAAACAGG